This 450-nucleotide ribosomal RNA is filed under the name uncultured bacterium. RNAcentral's name for it is "bacterial SSU rRNA". It matches the Rfam family "Bacterial small subunit ribosomal RNA", at positions 354 to 796 of the family's 1533-position model. The record is from RNAcentral.
GUGGGGAAUAUUGGACAAUGGGCGCAAGCCUGAUCCAGCCAUACCGCGUGGGUGAAGAAGGCCUUCGGGUUGUGAAGCCCUUUUGUUGGGAAAGAAAUCCUGUCGGUUAAUACCUGGCGGGGAUGACGGUACCCAAAGAAUAAGCACCGGCUAACUUCGUGCCAGCAGCCGCGGUAAUACGAAGGGUGCAAGCGUUACUCGGAAUUACUGGGCGUAAAGCGUGCGUAGGUGGUGGUUUAAGUCCGUUGUGAAAGCCCUGGGCUCAACCUGGGAAUUGCAGUGGAUACUGGAUCACUAGAGUGUGGUAGAGGGAUGCGGAAUUUCUGGUGUAGCAGUGAAAUGCGUAGAGAUCAGAAGGAACAUCCGUGGCGAAGGCGGCAUCCUGGGCCAACACUGACACUGAGGCACGAAAGCGUGGGGAGCAAACAGGAUUAGAAACCCGAGUAGUCC